RNAcentral lists this small nuclear RNA (274 nucleotides) under Chinchilla lanigera (long-tailed chinchilla). RNAcentral's name for it is "7SK RNA (ENSCLAG00000021257.1)". It matches the Rfam family "7SK RNA". From Rfam's summary of the family: 7SK was discovered as an abundant small nuclear RNA in the mid-70s but a possible function has only recently been suggested. Two independent studies have found that 7SK RNA binds the CDK9/cyclin T complex (known as elongation factor P-TEFb). P-TEFb activates transcription by phosphorylating the C-terminal domain of RNA polymerase II. Lineage: Eukaryota; Metazoa; Chordata; Mammalia; Rodentia; Chinchillidae. The record is from Rfam by way of RNAcentral.
GGGUGUGAGUUCGAUUUGGCUACCCUGCUGAUCGCCAUGGUGGCUUUAGCUGAUCUGGCUGGCGGGGCGGGCGUCCCCGUCCUCACAGGCCACGUGCGUCCCUCCUGAAGCCACACGCUCAGUCAGAGAGGACCUUUUCCUUGGUCAAGGGCAUAGGAGUAGCUGUGCUCCCCUGCCAGAACCCCCGAACAAGCCCUCAGUGGGAAUGCCCACGGAUUUCUCCUUUGAGAAUUACAGCCACGGCCAAAACCUUUUAAUUUCUAAUUUUGUCUCU